ACCAAGCUGCAAACUGGUGGCUCUGGUGGAGUUUCCAGCAGAAAAGUGGAGGAAAAGUAGUUCCCAGCAAAACUAACACCCCCAAGGAUGGAGAAGAAGAGAAGAAGUUUAUCAGAAAAAUGUCCUGGCAAAACCAGAGCUCAUUUUUGGACCAACUCCCCCCCCAGAAGCAAGCUUUUUAGGAUUUACUGCCCCCCAGCUGCAGGGUCCAAACCUAAAGGUACCUGGAAGCUCCAGCAAAGAACACGAGUGACCCACUUGAUGCCAGCAAGGACCAGCCAAGGCAGCUUCACCACUGAGCUGGUGGAAAAGAAGCCACC
Molecule: long non-coding RNA, 320 nt
Organism: Calypte anna (Anna's hummingbird)
Lineage: Eukaryota; Metazoa; Chordata; Aves; Apodiformes; Trochilidae
Exons: 3
Source: RefSeq, a predicted model, not a curated record